Panicum virgatum (switchgrass) is the source of this 961-nucleotide long non-coding RNA. RefSeq lists it as uncharacterized. Lineage: Eukaryota; Viridiplantae; Streptophyta; Magnoliopsida; Poales; Poaceae. The transcript is spliced from 3 exons. The record is from RefSeq and is a predicted model, not a curated record.
GUUAACACUGAGUAGUUGAGCUGACCAAAGACUGCCUUCGGCAUUACACUGACACUGGCCACCAGAUCACAUAGAGCCUUGUCGAAGAUUUGUGUCCCAAUUGAGCAUAUGAUGAAGUAUGGCUGCACUGCAUGUCUAAGUAAGAUGGAGAGCAAGCUAUCCUCGACGGCGGUGUUCCUAUAGGCCACCGCGCUCCUGGUCCCGUGCAGGCCUCUAAAUGGCACCCUGAGGUCCCAUCCAGGCCGCUGCCCUACGCCCCACGAGGAGGCAGUCCUGCAGGCCGCCGCUGUGCACCCCGAACACAGCAAGCAGGAGGCCCUCACCUCCACCGCUGGUAUGCCUUCUUCCUUCUUUGAUUCUUCAUGUGCGCACUACAAUUCUUGUACCAUCUCGCACAGCCCCAGCAGGAUUUGUCGAUUCCAUCUCCACUAGAUCGAGGCAGCGACGGCCAAUGAGGGCAAUCUCGACCUUAGCAUCAGCGGGUCAACAUGCUCGCCUCCAAGAUAUGCCUCUGAUGCAUUGAACUCCGCCGCCACCGUUCAUCUCCUCCUCGGGUUCUCUCUCCCCCUCCCCUAUCCAGUGAGACCUCACUUUGGAUGAAAAAGAAGUGCAAUAGGAUUGAAAGCUCUACAUAAUUCUAGAGUCUGAUGUUUCUUGGAUUUCUCCAACAAGAUUUCUUCAAAAAAAUUUCCUUGAGCCAGCAGUUGCAAAGAGGAGCACCAAGUCUGAUGUUUCUGCACGUGAACAAGAACUUGAGUCUGAAGUUGAGAGUCAGAAGCAGGGUGGUAAUCAGAAGCAAGCAGCAAAUCUUGGGUUACCAGGAUGAUUUGCAUUCUUUGAGAUUUUAAUACUGUAACUUGUACCUGUCUAGAAUCUUGUAAUUGUGGAGUAUUAUAUGGCUAUCUGAGAUUGAAUAUGAAUUAUUUGAUUUUAAAUUUGCUUUGGGCUAUUGGGUUGUCAA